This 1075-nucleotide long non-coding RNA is filed under the name Nicotiana tabacum (common tobacco). RNAcentral describes it as "long non-coding RNA (NTAB_LNC010589)". Lineage: Eukaryota; Viridiplantae; Streptophyta; Magnoliopsida; Solanales; Solanaceae. The record is from RNAcentral.
UUUUUUUUUUUUUUUUGUAUAAACAGGUAAAUAAAUUUUCAGUUCCGAAAUAAAUAUAUAAAAAAGCAUAAAUUUAGCAAAUUAUUUUCAAAUUGUUGUCUAGUGUUGUUUUACUAUUAUCAACUUAUCAUUAGCUUGCUAAGAACCGAAAAAUCGAACCAAACCAACAACAACCAAACCGAUGGUUUAUAUAUAAUUUGAUUUGGUUUUGGUUUUAAAAUUUUAAAAACCAAUUAAAUUGAUUUGAUUUUAGUUUUAAUCAAAAUCGGCCAAACUGAACCGUGAACACCCUGCGCAUAAGUCCGCCUCUGCUUGUGAGAGGUGCCUUUUAUAAACUUGUAAGUGUUAGAAGAAGAAAAAAAUGAAAUGGGACAAGUUUGAAUAGUGACUUGAAGAAAAGGUGUUAAGAAGUCAACGCAUAAUUAGGUAUUUCACCAGCAACUUCUCUCAAACUCAAUUUUCUCUUUUGGGUCAAAGAAUAAAGUUGUAUAAGGGUGUAAAAUAAAGAAGAUAUAGAUAGAUACAUACUUAAAUAAAUAAUUGCAUUUGGUCAUUCAGGUAAAAUUGAUCAACAACCGCUAGACUUGUACUAUUGCCAAACCACACAUAUCUUUUACAAAGGGGUUGGCACGACUUCUACAACAUUUUUCAGCCCCUUAUUGGGCAAAAUGAGGAUUCUACGCAAUAUGUACAUGAACGUGAUGCAUAAAUUUCAUUCCUUGAGAGUUUCUUUUUAGAAGAAGUUAACAUCGAUAGCGUAAAAAAAAGUCAACGUAGUUGUCCAUUAUCAGAAACCACCAUUAUGAUCAGCAGGCGUGAAAAUGUAGCUAGAACUAUCAAUCCAAUCAUUGUUGCAAUCAACUAACUGUUCUGAUGCAUCUGUUAAAAUUGCGUUCAGUUGAUAGGAUCGCAGCUGCUGAUAAAGAACAUUUGGAUAUUGAUCCACCACUGUUUCUCCUGUUCAUAUCAGAAUUCAUUACUAUAUUAUAGAAACCAACAAACUGUACUAAAAUAUAGAACAUUGACUGUUAUUAUUAAUUCCAAAAACUUGAGCUUUUCGAAAAGGAACUCUUUA